Molecule: ribosomal RNA, 1020 nt
Filed under: Triticum aestivum (bread wheat)
Lineage: Eukaryota; Viridiplantae; Streptophyta; Magnoliopsida; Poales; Poaceae
Description: partial small subunit ribosomal RNA
Source: RNAcentral
AUGGAAGAUACCGGUUCUGAGUUCUCCUUGUAUGAUUUCUCACAAAUCGCAGAUGCUACAGACAACUUCUCACCCGGCAAAAUAUUAGGACAGGGUGGCUUUGGGCCCGUUUACAAAGGAAUUUUUCCUGACGGACAAGAAGUAGCGAUUAAAAAACUCGCUGCACGGUCAAGACAAGGUCUAGUGGAAUUCAAAAAUGAGAUCCAACUGGUAGCAAAACUUCAGCACAGACACCUUGUUAGGCUGCUGGGUUGUUGCAUCCAUGACGAAGAGAAGAUUCUGAUCUAUGAAUACAUGUCAAACAAAAGCUUGGACUACUUCAUUUUCGAUCCAAACAGGAGGACAUCAUUAAACUGGAUGAUACGACUUAAAAUAGUUGAAGGAAUAGCCCAAGGGCUUCUAUACCUUCAUGAGCAUUCACGACUACGUAUCAUCCAUAGGGAUCUGAAAGCAAGCAAUAUUCUGUUAGACUCUGAGUUAAAUCCUAAGAUUUCUGAUUUUGGCAUGGCAAGGAUAUUUCCGUCAGAUGCCACUCAAACAAAAACAAGCAGGCUUGUUGGAACAUAUGGUUACAUGGCUCCUGAGUACGCAUUUGAGGGCCUCCUUUCGAUCAAGUCAGAUGUUUUCAGUUUUGGGGUAUUGCUUCUUGAGAUUAUAAGUGGAAAGAGGAGUGCAGGAUUUCAGCAUUAUGGAGAAGGAGAAUUUCACAAUCUUCUUCAAUAUGCAUGGCAGAUGUGGGAAGAAGAAAGAUGGCAUGAAUUCAUUGAUCAAUCAAUUGGUGAUGAAUAUGAACCAGGAGACAUGAUGAAAUAUCUCAGGUUGGCACUGAUGUGUGUCCAAGUAAAAGCAGUAGACCGUCCCACUAUGUCUGAUAUUGUUGCAAUGCUUAGCAGUGACGACAUCACUGUACCAGAGCCAAGGCAACCAGCUUACUCCUAUACCAGAGUAGAUGUGUCAGUGAACAUCAAUUUAUCAUGCACCAGAAAUGAUAUAACCCUCACCACUACUGAUGGUAGAUAA